CGUUUUGAACCAUGUGAGAGCUUUAGCGGUGUCGUCCAGGAGUAAUUGAGUGAUGGAUCUUCUGGUCUCUCUCAGUUGUUCUAGAAGUUGUGGGGUUGGUGUCGUCUUGUGUUUUUGUUCUAUCUUUCUCAACGAGUCUAGUAGUUGAGUCAGUCUCUGCGUCUCUUGUGUCUUCUUUCUUGUGGCUAGUCUUAUACAUGUUCCGCUUUAUGUGCAGCCCAUGCUUGGAGACAUGUCCUGCGUUUCGUUCGC
Non-coding RNA from Pelobates cultripes (western spadefoot toad), 252 nucleotides. The record is from the annotation of a GenBank genome assembly. Lineage: Eukaryota; Metazoa; Chordata; Amphibia; Anura; Pelobatidae.